RNAcentral lists this ribosomal RNA (440 nucleotides) under uncultured bacterium. RNAcentral describes it as "partial 16S ribosomal RNA". It matches the Rfam family "Bacterial small subunit ribosomal RNA", at positions 339 to 795 of the family's 1533-position model. The record is from RNAcentral.
CUACGGGGGGCUGCAGUGGGGAAUUUUGCGCAAUGGGCGAAAGCCUGACGCAGCAACGCCGCGUGCGGGAUGAAGGCCUUCGGGUCGUAAACCGCUGUCAAGUGGGAAGAACCCUGACGGUACCACUGAAGGAAGCCCCGGCUAACUUCGUGCCAGCAGCCGCGGUAAUACGAAGGGGGCAAGCGUUGUUCGGAAUCAUUGGGCGUAAAGCGUAUGUAGGCGGCUGGAUAAGUCGGGCGUGCAAGCCCGCGGCUCAACCGCGGAAUUGCGCUCGAAACUGUCCGGCUUGAGUGCAGGAGAGGAAAGCGGAAUUCCCAGUGUAGCGGUGAAAUGCGUUGAUAUUGGGAAGAACACCAGUGGCGAAGGCGGCUUUCUGGCCUGCAACUGACGCUGAGAUACGAAAGCCAGGGGAGCGAACGGGAUUAGAUACCCGCGUAGUC